RNAcentral lists this ribosomal RNA (24 nucleotides) under Bracteacoccus bullatus. Its description in RNAcentral is "partial 28S ribosomal RNA". The record is from RNAcentral. Lineage: Eukaryota; Viridiplantae; Chlorophyta; Chlorophyceae; Sphaeropleales; Bracteacoccaceae.
CGACCUGAGCUCAGGCAAGAUUAC